Pristionchus pacificus is the source of this 72-nucleotide non-coding RNA. Lineage: Eukaryota; Metazoa; Nematoda; Chromadorea; Rhabditida; Neodiplogasteridae. The record is from Rfam.
GGCUGAGUGGUCUAGUGGUAUGAUUCUCGCUUUGGGUGCGAGAGGUCCCGGGUUCAAUCCCCGGCUCAGCCC